This 465-nucleotide ribosomal RNA is filed under the name uncultured Klebsiella sp. RNAcentral describes it as "bacterial SSU rRNA". It matches the Rfam family "Bacterial small subunit ribosomal RNA", at positions 338 to 795 of the family's 1533-position model. The record is from RNAcentral. Lineage: Bacteria; Pseudomonadati; Pseudomonadota; Gammaproteobacteria; Enterobacterales; Enterobacteriaceae.
CCUACGGGUGGCAGCAGUGGGGAAUAUUGCACAAUGGGCGCAAGCCUGAUGCAGCCAUGCCGCGUGUGUGAAGAAGGCCUUCGGGUUGUAAAGCACUUUCAGCGGGGAGGAAGGCGGUGAGGUUAAUAACCUCAUCGAUUGACGUUACCCGCAGAAGAAGCACCGGCUAACUCCGUGCCAGCAGCCGCGGUAAUACGGAGGGUGCAAGCGUUAAUCGGAAUUACUGGGCGUAAAGCGCACGCAGGCGGUCUGUCAAGUCGGAUGUGAAAUCCCCGGGCUCAACCUGGGAACUGCAUUCGAAACUGGCAGGCUAGAGUCUUGUAGAGGGGGGUAGAAUUCCAGGUGUAGCGGUGAAAUGCGUAGAGAUCUGGAGGAAUACCGGUGGCGAAGGCGGCCCCCUGGACAAAGACUGACGCUCAGGUGUGAAAGCGUGGGGAGCAAACAGGAUUAGAUACCCGGGUAGUC